Molecule: long non-coding RNA, 2126 nt
Filed under: Homo sapiens (human)
Lineage: Eukaryota; Metazoa; Chordata; Mammalia; Primates; Hominidae
Description: LHRI_LNC1569.5
Source: RNAcentral
CCGGCCCCGACGCUGGCCUGCGGCGUCUGUUUGUGCAGAGCGAGGCCCCGCCGGCCGGGCUUGACGUCAGGCUGGCAGGGCCUGGAACGGCCCCGCAUCGCGGCCCCCUGGGGGCAGGACGACACCGCUGGGGGCCGAGGGCAGGGCACGCCUUCGGAAUCCGGCUUCGAAGCCGGCCGCCUGACCUGGGGCAAGUGCUUUCAACUCUCUGAACUUCGGUUCCUCAUCUGCCAGUUGGCAGACGCUCAGCAAAUCUUCCUAGACUCACGGGGCGAAUUGUACAGUUGGGUAAAUCGAGGCCCAGAGAUGGCAAAAGGACCGUCCAAGGUCGUACAGCCACCCGGAAUUACAAUUCUUUUCUGCCGGGUCACACGCUGUCAUCCACGUGUUACCUAAGAGAGCUUUCCAGCCUGUGCUAAGAAAACUGCCCCACAUCAUCUGCAGUAGGACGGGGGAGUUGGAGCCCUGGUCAGGCCACUCUGCUACUGACCACAGUUUUCUCAUCUCUAAAAAGGCGCAGUAACAAUAUAAUUACCGUAUGCAGUCCCCCAGGAUACAGGGUCAAAGGAGAGCACAACCAUCGCAGUUGGAAGCCCAUGGGGCAGGGCCCAGGACACAGUGAGCAUACAAUAGACAUUAGCUGCUGUGGUGUCUUGAUUUCAAGCCCAGUGCAGAUGCAUCUGACUUACGAAACUUCAGUGACACCUGCUCUGUGCCAGACACUGAAGAUGGAGCAGUGAACAGCACUGACCCAGCCUGUCCUCCUGUUGCCUGCAGGCCAGACGGAGUCUCACUCUGUCACCAGGCUGGAGUACAGUGGUGUGAUCUCGGCUCACUGCAACCUCCGCCUCCCAGGUUCAAGCGAUUCUCCUGCCUCAGCCUCUCAAGUAGCUGAGAUUACAGACGUGUGUCACCAUGCCCUGUUAAUUUUUGUUUGUUUGUUUUGUUUUUUGUUUUGUUUUGUUUCGUUUUUUGUUUUUUUUUUUUGAGACGGAGUCUUGCUCUGUCGCCCAGGCUGGAGUGCAGUGGCCCCGAUCUCGGCUCACCGCAAGCUCCGCCUCGCGGGUUCAUGCCAUUCUCCGGCCUCAGCCUCCCGAGUAGCUGGGACUACAGGCAUCCGCCACCACACCCAGCUAAUUUUUUGUAUUUUUUUUAGUAGAGACGGGGUUUCACUGUGUUAGCCAGGAUGGUCUCGAUCCCCUGACCUUGUGAUCCACCCAAGGCCUCGGCCUCCCAAAGUGCUGGGAUUACAGGCAUGAGCCACCGUGCCCGGUCAAUUUUUAUAUUUUUUGUAGAGACAGGGUUUCACCAUGUUGGCCAGGCUGGUGUCGAACUCCCGACCUCAGGUGAUUGUCGGCCUUGGCCUCCCAAAGUGCUGGGAUUACAGGCGUGAGCCACCGCGCCCAGCCGGUGGGCAGCCAGUUGUGUUCCGGGAGGAGGAGGACACCCUGGAAAGACAGUGGGGCCAGACACUGAACUGCCUUUGGAAGCAAGUAGGAGCAACAGCGAAGGUUUGCUGGCUCAGAAGCAAGGUCUCGCUGUGUUACCCUGGCUGGAGUGCAGUGGCUACUUACAGGCAUGAUCAUAGCAUACUGCAGCCUCGAACUCCUGGACUAGAGCAGUUCUCCUGCCUCAGCCUCCAGAGCAGCUGGGACUGCAGACACGCACCACAGAGCCCAGCCUGAGUCAUUUUGAUUCUGUAACUGGCUUCCUCUCGGCGGGCAGGCUCACACCCUCCACCCCCAGCUGGAGAUGGAAGGAGGAUGCUCACCGCCCAUUCCUCAUGCAGGCCAUCGAUGGAAAUGUCAGACAGUGCGAGUCCACGCCUGAACACUUCUGGGGUCCGCUCUGGGACUGACACUGGCAGAUCCAUCGUGGCACCCGAGCUCUGUGAGGGCAAGACUUUGUUCGGUUGUGGGCUAUGCCCCCAACCCCUCGGACAGUGCCUGCACAGGUGGACAUUUUUGUUGGAUGAAGGAUUUUCUGUUAAAUGUGUCUGGCACACACAGAAAAACAAAGCCCAGCAGAUGCCGUUCCAUUGUUUGCUGACUUUCAUUGAUUCUAUGAGAAGUCUGCAGUCUUUUGCAGCGUUGUUUUCCUAUGUAUAAUUGUCUCCUCCCACCCCA